AACGGCCAUACCAUGCUGAAUAUAUCGGUUCUCGUUAGAUCACCGAAGUCAAAGCAUCAUUGGGCGCGGUUAGUACUUGUUGGGUGACCACCUGGGAACACCGCGUGCCGUU
Molecule: ribosomal RNA, 112 nt
Filed under: Caerostris extrusa
Lineage: Eukaryota; Metazoa; Arthropoda; Arachnida; Araneae; Araneidae
Source: RNAcentral